CAGUCUUCUGUUUGCCUUCAGAACAAGAUGUAGAACUCUCAGCUAUUUCUGUGCCACGCCUGCCUGCAUGCUGCCAUGCUUCCUGCUGUGAUGAUAAUGGACUGAACCUCAGAACCUGAGAGACCGGGGAAGGAGAAGUAUUACCAAGUAAACAGGAAGAGCAUAGCCAGCAGCUUCCACAUCUAUAGAAAUGACAGAGACCGCUGGCUGCCCUGACAGUCACCCAACGCUUCUCUGCAACACUGGCUCCAGCAGUUCACCGGCAGCCUACUGGCCCAGGAUAUCUGCAGACUUAUCUGUGAAGCUGGACUAUGGAGGACCAGGCUACUUUAUCUUUGCAAAGCUAGGCAGAUAACUUCCUCUGUGUCCUGCUUGUCCACAGUUUGGGCAGCAUUCUGUCAGCAGCUGAAGCAAGGGCAAGUUUUUUGUUUUUUGUUUUUUGUUUUUUGUUUUUUGUUUUUUGUUUGUUUGUUUGUUUUUGCUGAUGGCUAGCCGUGCCACAAUGGAAGGGAACUCCAUGUAGAGGUUCUUCAAUGCCCAUCUUCUUCUUUGAAGUAGUAUGGGAAUGUUGCCACGAGCAGACCCAUCUAGUGUCAUGAAAAGCCUUGUGUUAAUAAAGCAUCUUUAAAUGCCAUA
This 636-nucleotide long non-coding RNA is filed under the name Mus musculus (house mouse). Its description in RNAcentral is "predicted gene, 39792". Lineage: Eukaryota; Metazoa; Chordata; Mammalia; Rodentia; Muridae. The record is from RNAcentral.